Molecule: ribosomal RNA, 429 nt
Filed under: Bacteroidota bacterium
Lineage: Bacteria; Pseudomonadati; Bacteroidota
Description: Bacteroidetes bacterium partial 16S ribosomal RNA
Rfam family: Bacterial small subunit ribosomal RNA
Source: RNAcentral
UAGGGAAUCUUCCGCAAUGGACGCAAGUCUGACGGAGCAACGCCGCGUGAGUGAAGAAGGAUUUCGGUUCGUAAAACUCUGUUGUUAGAGAAGAACAGCGCAUAGAGUAACUGUUAUGCGUGUGACGGUAUCUAACCAGAAAGCCACGGCUAACUACGUGCCAGCAGCCGCGGUAAUACGUAGGUGGCAAGCGUUGUCCGGAUUUAUUGGGCGUAAAGCGAGCGCAGGCGGUCAAUUAAGUCUGAUGUGAAAGCCCCCGGCUCAACCGGGGAGGGUCAUUGGAAACUGGUUGACUUGAGUGCAGAAGAGGAGAGUGGAAUUCCAUGUGUAGCGGUGAAAGGCGUAGAUAUAUGGAGGAACACCGGUGGCGAAAGCGGCUCUCUGGUCUGUAACUGACGCUGAGGCUCGAAAGCGUGGGGAGCGAACAGG